GGAGAGGUGACCGAGCUGGCCGAUGGUGCUCGCCUGCUAAGCGAGUGUGGGGUCAAAAGCCCCACCGCGGGUUCAAAUCCCGCCCUCUCCGCCA
Molecule: transfer RNA, 94 nt
Filed under: Spirochaetes bacterium ADurb.Bin215
Lineage: Bacteria; Pseudomonadati; Spirochaetota
Also listed under: 1 other name
Description: tRNA-Ser
Rfam family: tRNA
About the family: Transfer RNA (tRNA) molecules are approximately 80 nucleotides in length. Their secondary structure includes four short double-helical elements and three loops (D, anti-codon, and T loops).
Source: RNAcentral